CGAAGGAUCCAAGCGUUGUCCGGAUUUACUGGGUUUAAAGGGUGCGUAGGCGGAUUAUUAAGUCAGUGGUGAAAGCUUCCCGCUUAACGGGAAAACUGCCAUUGAAACUGAUAGUCUCGAGUAUGGUUGAGGUUACUGGAAUGUUGCAUGUAGCGGUGAAAUGCUUAGAUAUGCAACAGAACACCAAUUGCGAAGGCAGGUAACUAAGCCAUAACUGACGCUGAGGCACGAAAGCGUGGGGAGCAAACAGGAUUAGAUACCCUGGUAGUCCACGCCCUAAACUUUGAAUACUCGGUCUUGGCGAUAUACAGUCAGGGCCCAAGCGAAAGCGUUAAGUAUUCCACCUGGGAAGUACGUUCGCAAGAAUG
RNAcentral lists this ribosomal RNA (368 nucleotides) under uncultured organism. RNAcentral's name for it is "bacterial SSU rRNA". It matches the Rfam family "Bacterial small subunit ribosomal RNA", at positions 526 to 896 of the family's 1533-position model. The record is from RNAcentral.